GUUUGUAACGUGCGUUGUUGGGGGCUGGGGAGGAUUUACGGCUCUAAAGCCUUCCAUAUAACGCUUUAACGGUCUACGAGAAAACAGUCUCGGAGCUAAAAAUGAAUGGGAAUAAUCCACAUGAGAGUUGCUCCUUCUGCCUGGGCCUGGGAAUGAGAAGACCUGUGGAGCUGAGCUACUGCUUACCCACAACCUGCAUAUACAUAAAUCAGAAGCCAGCACUGGUUGUUGUGAGUCGCUUAGAUUUUGGGCUUGAUGAAGAUGACCUUAGGCACAGUGACCCUGAAGGCCACAUGUUAAAGACAGUGGAGCCACAGGAUGGAAGGAAGCUGGUUCCCUGAAUCAUCACGUGGCAGAGAGCGGACCACUAAUCAGGAUCAUGUGUUUCAGAUUUCACUUGACCAAUAAAUCAAUUUCAAUUUUGUUACACUG
This 432-nucleotide long non-coding RNA is filed under the name Homo sapiens (human). RNAcentral describes it as "HSALNT0368361". The record is from RNAcentral. Lineage: Eukaryota; Metazoa; Chordata; Mammalia; Primates; Hominidae.